GAGGAAUAUUGGGCAAUGCCCGCAAGGGUGACCCAGCAACGCCGCGUGGAGGAUGAAUGUCGUAAGAUUGUAAACUCCUGUUAGAGGGGAAGAAUAGUACCGGUUGGACCGGUAUAUGACUGUACCCUCAGAGAAAGCCCCGGCUAACUACGUGCCAGCAGCCGCGGUAAUACGUAGGGGGCAAGCGUUGUCCGGAUUUACUGGGUGUAAAGGGCGCGCAGGCGGGAUAAAAAGUCAGUGGUGAAAUCCUACAGCUUAACUGUAGAACUGCCUUUGAUACUUUUAUUCUUGAGUUCGGAAGAGAGAGACGGAAUUCCAGGUGUAGUGGUGAAAUACGUAGAUAUCUGGAAGAACGCCAGUUGCGAAGGCGGUCUCUUGGUCCGACACUGACGCUGAGGCGCGAAAGCGUGGGGAGCAAA
This 419-nucleotide ribosomal RNA is filed under the name uncultured bacterium. Its description in RNAcentral is "bacterial SSU rRNA". It matches the Rfam family "Bacterial small subunit ribosomal RNA", at positions 356 to 772 of the family's 1533-position model. The record is from RNAcentral.